RNAcentral lists this microRNA precursor (139 nucleotides) under Fragaria vesca subsp. vesca. RNAcentral describes it as "Fragaria vesca miR168 stem-loop (fve-MIR168)". Its record names the gene fve-MIR168. It matches the Rfam family "MIR168 microRNA precursor family". The record is from miRBase by way of RNAcentral. Lineage: Eukaryota; Viridiplantae; Streptophyta; Magnoliopsida; Rosales; Rosaceae.
AGUAGUUACUGGCGGGUCUCUAAUUCGCUUGGUGCAGGUCGGGAACUGCUUCGGUUUUAGAGAGAGAGCCAGAUGGCUGCGGUUCCAGCGGAGCGGGUCCCGCCUUGCAUCAACUGAAUCGGAGACCGCGGUGAAAUCU